AAACAAGAAAUGAUUUAUCAUAUGUGAUUUCGACUCAUACCUAGAUGUUAAUACAUCCUUGUUUC
This 65-nucleotide transfer RNA is filed under the name Mastigoteuthis agassizii. RNAcentral describes it as "tRNA-Arg". The record is from RNAcentral. Lineage: Eukaryota; Metazoa; Mollusca; Cephalopoda; Oegopsida; Mastigoteuthidae.